AGGCGUGUAGCUCAGUGGUAGAGCGCUGUUCCAACUUAACAGAGGUCAUUGUGUUCGAUUCCAAUCACGCCAACCA
Molecule: transfer RNA, 76 nt
Filed under: Vibrio sp. 99K-1
Lineage: Bacteria; Pseudomonadati; Pseudomonadota; Gammaproteobacteria; Vibrionales; Vibrionaceae
Description: tRNA-Leu
Rfam family: tRNA
About the family: Transfer RNA (tRNA) molecules are approximately 80 nucleotides in length. Their secondary structure includes four short double-helical elements and three loops (D, anti-codon, and T loops).
Source: RNAcentral